UGGGGAAGCGCCGGAUCUUGGGCUGUGUCCCCCAGUGCCCUGCGCUCCAGGGCCUGCACUACUGGAAUCGAGCUCCUGCUGUGCAGCCCCCU
This 92-nucleotide microRNA precursor is filed under the name Canis lupus familiaris (dog). Its description in RNAcentral is "mir-8799 microRNA precursor family". It matches the Rfam family "mir-8799 microRNA precursor family". RNAcentral also lists the same sequence under 1 other name. The record is from Rfam by way of RNAcentral. Lineage: Eukaryota; Metazoa; Chordata; Mammalia; Carnivora; Canidae.